GACCUUGAUUGCUCGCAUAGUGUUAUUGUGAUUCUUAAAUCUUACACUUGCAACUUGAACUUAGUUAGCAAUUGCAACUUUGCUAGUUGGACAAAUUUAUAGCCGUAUUGUUUUAGUAUAUGUAUUGUUUGAAUAUGAUUGCCUUCUGUAUUUGAAGAUGCCAAAUCAAAUGUUAUCUUUUUGAGAUAAUUUUGAUUUUCUCAUUUGUUCAUGACCCCUUCUGUAGGUGAUUGUUACAGUUGUAGCACAUAGAAAUAAAGUUUGAUUUUAUUUAAAACUUGUAUCGCAUAAAUUUUCAGUUACAACUUCCAUUGAACCCAUGCUUCCCUGAAACAGUUGUGAUUGUCACUUGCUAAUGACCCCUCCCCUUGGUGACUAGUAUAUUUGUAUCUCUCAAAAACAUACUGAAUUUCUUGUCUCUUGAGCUCCUUUAUUGAAAACAGAAUACCGAAUGUCAUUUGUAUCUACAGUUUGUUGUUUUGGCAUAAUUUUUCACUUUGUUUCUACAGUUUCUAAUUGUCUCAUGUUCCCUUCUUGUAUCCAUUUAUCUUUAUUGUGGAACUGUUGUUGAUUGCCUGAGUUCUUAUGCUUCUAGGCACAACCAUUACUAGUGGAUGUAAAGAAGCUGAAAUGUUAGGAUGACUGUCUGGUUCGAUAUGCUAAUGUGCUGAAACGGUUCAACAGGUAAGAAUAUCUUCUGAUAUAGUUUCAGAAAUUUUUAUGAUUACAAACACUAGUCACAUCUUUCAACUCCCCCACCCAACAUUUUCAUGUAAAAAGGCCGAAUGAUCUAUUUGUUGUCAUCGGUAUUCCUAGGAGAUAUAUGAAGUAAUGUGAUAUACCUCUUUUUUGAGGCGAUGCAAUAUAUUCCUUCUUUAUGUUGAUGAGCUUAUCAUCAGUUUUUACACACUUGUUGUUCAUACACUGUGUUACAUAGGUGCCGCUAUUAUGUUUUAUCUUUGUCUGUGUCAGUUUACCAACAGAUUAAUGAUUUUAUUUUCUCUAGGUGAAGAAAGGGCUGCUGCAGUAGUUGGUUGUCACUUUGUCACAUCGCAUCAGUGUGGUCAGCGGUGUUUAUAUGUUAUCUGAAUUUUUUUACCGUGCCUUUUAGUCUAGCCAAGCUCCUUAUAUAGCAAGAUGCUUUGAAUAGCUAAUCCAGGGAGUUUGAGGUUCCCUAGUUAGAUUUCAAGACGUUUUUACUGCAGGGUUGUGCUUGGCAGCUCUUCUCUCGAGCCAAAAGAGUUUUGUGUAGCGUUUAGAGUUUCUGAGAUGUUGUUUAAAUGACUGAUGCUGAAGGAACUAGAACCCUGAAACUGAGAUUGUUGGUGUUGGCCGCUGCCACUUGCUAAAACUGUGGUGGUGUUCUUAGUUUCCUGUGAUGGACUGUCGUUUCUGUGAUUGUUCGUUUUUGUUAGUUUUUUU
RNAcentral lists this long non-coding RNA (1422 nucleotides) under Hordeum vulgare. RNAcentral describes it as "long non-coding RNA (HVUL_LNC008866)". The record is from RNAcentral. Lineage: Eukaryota; Viridiplantae; Streptophyta; Magnoliopsida; Poales; Poaceae.